GGGUUUAUAUCUCAAACGGUUAGAGAGGUCGGCUCAUAUCCGACAGGUUGAAGGUUCGAAUCCUUCUGAACCCA
Molecule: transfer RNA, 74 nt
Filed under: Caudoviricetes sp.
Lineage: Duplodnaviria; Heunggongvirae; Uroviricota; Caudoviricetes
Description: tRNA-Met
Rfam family: tRNA
About the family: Transfer RNA (tRNA) molecules are approximately 80 nucleotides in length. Their secondary structure includes four short double-helical elements and three loops (D, anti-codon, and T loops).
Source: RNAcentral